RNAcentral lists this ribosomal RNA (301 nucleotides) under uncultured bacterium. Its description in RNAcentral is "partial 16S ribosomal RNA". It matches the Rfam family "Bacterial small subunit ribosomal RNA", at positions 509 to 807 of the family's 1533-position model. The record is from RNAcentral.
CAGCCGCCGCGGGAAUACGAAGGGUGCAAGCGUUAAUCGGAAUUACUGGGCAUAAAGCGUGCGUAGGCGGUGAGUUAAGUCUGCUGUGAAAUCCCCGGGCUCAACCUGGGAAUGGCAGUGGAUACUGGCUCGCUAGAGUGUGUCAGAGGAUGGUGGAAUUCCCGGUGUAGCGGUGAAAUGCGUAGAGAUCGGGAGGAACAUCAGUGGCGAAGGCGGCCAUCUGGGACAACACUGACGCUGAGGCACGAAAGCGUGGGGAGCAAACAGGAUUAGAUACCCCAGUAGUCCCUGUCUCUUAUAC